Salmo salar (Atlantic salmon) is the source of this 54-nucleotide non-coding RNA. NCBI's taxonomy places the organism in Eukaryota, Metazoa, Chordata, Actinopteri, Salmoniformes, Salmonidae. The record is from Rfam.
UGCACAUAUGACUGUCAGUCACUUUGGAUAAAACUGUCUGCUAAAUGGCAUAUU